Molecule: ribosomal RNA, 1519 nt
Filed under: Salmonella enterica subsp. enterica serovar Stanley
Lineage: Bacteria; Pseudomonadati; Pseudomonadota; Gammaproteobacteria; Enterobacterales; Enterobacteriaceae
Description: partial 23S ribosomal RNA
Rfam family: Bacterial large subunit ribosomal RNA
Source: RNAcentral
GAAUGCUGACAUAAGUAACGAUAAAGCGGGUGAAAAGCCCGCUCGCCGGAAGACCAAGGGUUCCUGUCCAACGUUAAUCGGGGCAGGGUGAGUCGACCCCUAAGGCGAGGCCGAAAGGCGUAGUCGAUGGGAAACGGGUUAAUAUUCCCGUACUUGGUGUUACUGCGAAGGGGGGACGGAGAAGGCUAUGUUGGCCGGGCGACGGUUGUCCCGGUUUAAGCGUGUAGGUGUGUGUUCCAGGUAAAUCCGGUUCACUUUAACACUGAGGCGUGACGACGAGGCACUACGGUGCUGAAGCAACAAAUGCCCUGCUUCCAGGAAAAGCCUCUAAGCAUCAGGUAACAUCAAAUCGUACCCCAAACCGACACAGGUGGUCAGGUAGAGAAUACCAAGGCGCUUGAGAGAACUCGGGUGAAGGAACUAGGCAAAAUGGUGCCGUAACUUCGGGAGAAGGCACGCUGACACGUAGGUGAAGUGAUUUACUCAUGGAGCUGAAGUCAGUCGAAGAUACCAGCUGGCUGCAACUGUUUAUUAAAAACACAGCACUGUGCAAACACGAAAGUGGACGUAUACGGUGUGACGCCUGCCCGGUGCCGGAAGGUUAAUUGAUGGGGUCAGCGCAAGCGAAGCUCCUGAUCGAAGCCCCGGUAAACGGCGGCCGUAACUAUAACGGUCCUAAGGUAGCGAAAUUCCUUGUCGGGUAAGUUCCGACCUGCACGAAUGGCGUAAUGAUGGCCAGGCUGUCUCCACCCGAGACUCAGUGAAAUUGAACUCGCUGUGAAGAUGCAGUGUACCCGCGGCAAGACGGAAAGACCCCGUGAACCUUUACUAUAGCUUGACACUGAACAUUGAGCCUUGAUGUGUAGGAUAGGUGGGAGGCUUUGAAGCGUGGACGCCAGUCUGCGUGGAGCCGACCUUGAAAUACCACCCUUUAAUGUUUGAUGUUCUAACGUGGACCCGUGAUCCGGGUUGCGGACAGUGUCUGGUGGGUAGUUUGACUGGGGCGGUCUCCUCCUAAAGAGUAACGGAGGAGCACGAAGGUUGGCUAAUCCUGGUCGGACAUCAGGAGGUUAGUGCAAUGGCAUAAGCCAGCUUGACUGCGAGCGUGACGGCGCGAGCAGGUGCGAAAGCAGGUCAUAGUGAUCCGGUGGUUCUGAAUGGAAGGGCCAUCGCUCAACGGAUAAAAGGUACUCCGGGGAUAACAGGCUGAUACCGCCCAAGAGUUCAUAUCGACGGCGGUGUUUGGCACCUCGAUGUCGGCUCAUCACAUCCUGGGGCUGAAGUAGGUCCCAAGGGUAUGGCUGUUCGCCAUUUAAAGUGGUACGCGAGCUGGGUUUAGAACGUCGUGAGACAGUUCGGUCCCUAUCUGCCGUGGGCGCUGGAGAACUGAGGGGGGCUGCUCCUAGUACGAGAGGACCGGAGUGGACGCAUCACUGGUGUUCGGGUUGUCAUGCCAAUGGCACUGCCCGGUAGCUAAAUGCGGAAGAGAUAAGUGCUGAAAGCAUCUAAGCACGAAACU